RNAcentral lists this ribosomal RNA (393 nucleotides) under Botuliforma sp. RNAcentral's name for it is "partial small subunit ribosomal RNA". It matches the Rfam family "Eukaryotic small subunit ribosomal RNA", at positions 582 to 975 of the family's 1831-position model. Lineage: Eukaryota; Cercozoa; Thecofilosea; Ebriacea. The record is from RNAcentral.
AUUCCAGCUCCAAUAGCGUAUAUUAAUGUUGUUGCAGUUAAAAAGCUCGUAGUUGGAUUUCUGCGUCGCGCAGGUCGGUCCGCCGCAUCGCGGUGCGACUGUACUGGAGCGUCGCAUCCUUGUGGAGACUGUUUCGGCCAUUAAUUUGGUUCGUUUCAGGAACCGCAUCGUUUACUGUGAAAAAAUUAGAGUGUUCAAAGCAGGCUUAUGCCGUGAAUACAUUAGCAUGGAAUAAUAAUCUAGGACUUCGGUUCUAUCUUGUUGGUUUCUAGUACUGAAGUAAUGAUUGAUAGGGAUAGUUGGGGGUGCUAGUAUUGAGCGGCCAGAGGUGAAAUUCUUGGAUUCGCUCAAGACUAACUUAUGCGAAAGCAUUCACCAAGGAUGUCUUCAUCG